AGAAAUUUAGGUUAAAAGACCAAGGGCCUUCAAAGCCCUAAGCAGGGGCCAACCUCCCCCUAAUUUCUG
This 69-nucleotide transfer RNA is filed under the name Breviceps adspersus (bushveld rain frog). RNAcentral's name for it is "tRNA-Trp". It matches the Rfam family "tRNA". Rfam says of the family: Transfer RNA (tRNA) molecules are approximately 80 nucleotides in length. Their secondary structure includes four short double-helical elements and three loops (D, anti-codon, and T loops). Lineage: Eukaryota; Metazoa; Chordata; Amphibia; Anura; Brevicipitidae. The record is from RNAcentral.